Molecule: non-coding RNA, 116 nt
Filed under: Nocardia donostiensis
Lineage: Bacteria; Bacillati; Actinomycetota; Actinomycetes; Mycobacteriales; Nocardiaceae
Description: SAM-IV sequence
Rfam family: SAM (S-adenosyl methionine) riboswitch aptamer
About the family: SAM-IV is a mRNA element that regulates gene expression via direct sensing of S-adenosylmethionine (SAM or AdoMet). SAM-IV riboswitches share conserved nucleotide positions with the previously described SAM-I riboswitches sequence analysis and molecular recognition experiments suggest that SAM-I and SAM-IV riboswitches share similar ligand binding sites, but have different scaffolds.
Source: Rfam by way of RNAcentral
GGUCAUGAGUGCCAGUGCCAAGCCCCGGCUCGCUGGUCGGCAACCCUCCUCCGCGGUGGGGUGCUCCGGGUGACGACCUGGCGCGCAUCGAAACCGCGAUGCGGCAAGUGCGGAUU